RNAcentral lists this ribosomal RNA (258 nucleotides) under uncultured bacterium. RNAcentral describes it as "partial 16S ribosomal RNA". It matches the Rfam family "Bacterial small subunit ribosomal RNA", at positions 524 to 776 of the family's 1533-position model. The record is from RNAcentral.
UACGUAGGGGGGCUAGCGUUAUCCGGAAUUACUGGGCGUAAAGGGUGCGUUAGGUGGUUUUUUAAGACAGAAGUGAAAGGCUACGGCUCAACCGUAGUAAGCUUUUUGAAACUAAAGAACUUUGAGUGCAGGAGAGGAGAGUAGAAUUCCUAGUGUAGCGGUGAAAUGCGUAGAUAUUAGGAGGAACACCUGCGGUGUAGACGGCUUCUGGACCGUAACUGACGCUGAGGCACGAAAAGCGUGGGGUAGCAAAACAGG